This 253-nucleotide ribosomal RNA is filed under the name uncultured bacterium. RNAcentral describes it as "partial 16S ribosomal RNA". It matches the Rfam family "Bacterial small subunit ribosomal RNA", at positions 524 to 776 of the family's 1533-position model. The record is from RNAcentral.
UACGUAGGUGGCAAGCGUUGUCCGGAUUUACUGGGCGUAAAGAGCGCGCAGGCGGUCGUUCAAGUCGCGUGUGAAAGCCCCCGGCUCAACUGGGGAGGGUCACGCGAUACUGAUCGACUCGAAGGCAGGAGAGGGUAGUGGAAUUCCCGGUGUAGUGGUGAAAUGCGCAGAUAUCAGGAGGAACACCGGUGGCGAAGGCGGAUCUCUGGGCCUUACCUGACGCUGAGGCGCGAAAGCUAGGGGAGCAAACAGG